CGUGUAGGCGGCCAGACAGGUCCGUUGUGAAAACUCGAGGCUCAACCUCGAGACGUCGAUGGAAACCGUCUGGCUAGAGUCCGGAAGAGGAGAGUGGAAUUCCUGGUGUAGCGGUGAAAUGCGCAGAUAUCAGGAAGAACACCUAUGGCGAAGGCAGCUCUCUGGGACGGUACUGACGCUGAGAGCGAAAGCGGUGGGGACGCGAACGA
RNAcentral lists this ribosomal RNA (209 nucleotides) under uncultured bacterium. RNAcentral describes it as "partial 16S ribosomal RNA". It matches the Rfam family "Bacterial small subunit ribosomal RNA", at positions 568 to 775 of the family's 1533-position model. The record is from RNAcentral.